Molecule: ribosomal RNA, 601 nt
Filed under: Zygaena haberhaueri elbursica
Lineage: Eukaryota; Metazoa; Arthropoda; Insecta; Lepidoptera; Zygaenidae
Description: partial 12S ribosomal RNA
Source: RNAcentral
UGCGGUUAUACAAAAAUUAAAUUAAAUUUUUUUAUGAUUAAUAAAUAAUAAUUAUUUAAUAAUUUAAAUUUUAAAUUAAAAAGUGAAAUUUUAAUUUAAUUAAAGUUUAUUUAUUUUUAUGACAUUAAUAAAUUUUAUAAAAAACUAGGAUUAGAUACCCUAUUAUAAAAAUUUAAAUUUAAUAAUCUUAAAAUAGUAUAUAUUUUUUAUAGAAACUUAAAUAAUUUGGCGGUAUUUUAGUUCAUUUAGAGGAAUCUGUCUAAUAAUUGAUAAUCCACGAUUAAAUUUACUUAAUUUUUAAUUUUGUAUAUCGUUGUUAAAAAAAUAUUUUUUAUAAAAAAUAAUAUUUUAAAAUUUUAAUAAAAAAAAUUAAAUCAGAUCAAGAUGCAGAUUAUAAUUAAGAAUAUGAUGGAUUACAAUAAAUUUUAUUUUUGGAUAUUAAUUUGAAAUAAAUUAAUUGAAAUUGGAUUUAAAUGUAAUUUUAUUAAUUUUGUUAAAAUGAUUUUAAAUUAAAAUAUGUACAUAUUGCCCGUCGCUUUCAUUUAUAAAUUGAAAUAAGUCGUAACAAAGUAGAGGUACUGGAAAGUGUUUCUAGAAAGAU